RNAcentral lists this ribosomal RNA (410 nucleotides) under Neriene sp. 3 LT-2015. RNAcentral's name for it is "partial 16S ribosomal RNA". The record is from RNAcentral. Lineage: Eukaryota; Metazoa; Arthropoda; Arachnida; Araneae; Linyphiidae.
AUUAUUUUAAGUACAAUCUGCUCCAUGUGAUAUAAAUAGCCGCAGUAAAUUCACUGUGCUAAGGUAGCAUAAUCAUUAGCCUCUUAAUUAAAGGCUAGAAUGAAUGAUUUUACAUUUAAUUAAUUUUUUUCUGAAAAAAAUUUAACUUAAACUAAAUAUAAAAAUGUAUUUAUAAAUAAAAAAGACGAUAAGACCCUAAUGAACUUUACUAAAGUUUAGCUGGGGAAGCUAAUUAAAUACAAUUUUAAUUUUUAUAAAGUUACAAAAAGCUAAUACAAUUAAUUUUUCUUAAGUUACCAUAGGGAUAACAGCGUAAUAUUUUUUAAAAGCUCUUAUUAAAAAAAAAGUUUACGACCUCGAUGUUGAAUUAAUUUUACUUUAAAACGCAACUGUAUUAAAAGUAGGUCUGU